UAGUACUAAAACACUAGUCACACACAACUCAGUCUAAGUAGGAAGAUGAAGUUAAAAAUUGGCAGGCGGCUGGAUGUGAGGGCGAUCUGGCUGCAACAUGUGUCACCCCAUUGAUUGCCAGGGUUGAUUCAUCUGAUCCGGCUGACUAGGCGAGUGUCCCCUUCCUACCUCACUGCUCCAUGUGUCUCCCUCCUGAAGCUGCACACUUGGUCGAAGAGGACGACCAUCCUGAUAGAGGAGGACCGGUGUUCUGUCAAGGGUAUACGAGUAGCUGCACUCCCCUGCUAGAACC
RNAcentral lists this long non-coding RNA (292 nucleotides) under Homo sapiens (human). Its description in RNAcentral is "HSALNT0140264". The stretch from base 72 to 292 matches the Rfam family "7SK RNA", at positions 1 to 222 of the family's 331-position model. Rfam says of the family: 7SK was discovered as an abundant small nuclear RNA in the mid-70s but a possible function has only recently been suggested. Two independent studies have found that 7SK RNA binds the CDK9/cyclin T complex (known as elongation factor P-TEFb). Lineage: Eukaryota; Metazoa; Chordata; Mammalia; Primates; Hominidae. The record is from RNAcentral.